Molecule: ribosomal RNA, 385 nt
Filed under: uncultured bacterium
Lineage: Bacteria
Description: bacterial SSU rRNA
Rfam family: Bacterial small subunit ribosomal RNA
Source: RNAcentral
AUUGAACGCUGGCGGCAUGCCUUACACAUGCAAGUCGAACGGUAACGGGCCUUCGGGUGCCGACGAGUGGCGAACGGGUGAGUAAUGUAUCGGAACGUACCUUUCAGUGGGGGAUAACGUAGCGAAAGUUACGCUAAUACCGCAUAUUCUGUGAGCAGGAAAGCAGGGGAUCGCAAGACUUUGCGCUGAUUGAGCGGCCGAUAUCAGAUUAGCUAGUUGGUGAGGUAAAGGCUCACCAAGGCGACGAUCUGUAGCGGGUCUGAGAGGAUGAUCCGCCACACUGGAACUGAGACACGGUCCAGACUCCUACGGGGGGCAGCAGUGGGGAAUUUUGGACAAUGGGGGGCAACCCUGAUCCAGCCAUGCCGCGUGAGUGAAGAAGGCC